RNAcentral lists this transfer RNA (75 nucleotides) under Pseudomonadota bacterium. Its description in RNAcentral is "tRNA-Pro". It matches the Rfam family "tRNA". From Rfam's summary of the family: Transfer RNA (tRNA) molecules are approximately 80 nucleotides in length. Their secondary structure includes four short double-helical elements and three loops (D, anti-codon, and T loops). Further hydrogen bonds mediate the characteristic L-shaped molecular structure. tRNAs have two regions of fundamental functional importance: the anti-codon, which is responsible for specific mRNA codon recognition, and the 3' end, to which the tRNAs corresponding amino acid is attached (by aminoacyl-tRNA synthetases). tRNAs cope with the degeneracy of the genetic code in two manners: having more than one tRNA (with a specific anti-codon) for a particular amino acid; and 'wobble' base-pairing, i.e. permitting non-standard base-pairing at the 3rd anti-codon position. The record is from RNAcentral. RNAcentral also lists the same sequence under 4 other names. Lineage: Bacteria; Pseudomonadati; Pseudomonadota.
CGGGGCGUGGCGCAGUUUGGUGAGCGCGCGGGGUUUGGGACCCCGAGGUCGCCGGUUCAAGUCCGGCCGCCCCGA